RNAcentral lists this ribosomal RNA (463 nucleotides) under uncultured bacterium. RNAcentral describes it as "bacterial SSU rRNA". It matches the Rfam family "Bacterial small subunit ribosomal RNA", at positions 28 to 475 of the family's 1533-position model. The record is from RNAcentral.
GACGAACGCNGGCGGCGUGCCUAAUACAUGCAAGUAGAACGCUGAAGGAGGAGCUUGCUUCUCUGGAUGAGUUGCGAACGGGUGAGUAACGCGUAGGUAACCUGCCUGGUAGCGGGGGAUAACUAUUGGAAACGAUAGCUAAUACCGCAUAACAGUAGAUAUCGCAUGAUAUGUGCUUAAAAGGUGCAAUUGCACCACUACCAGAUGGACCUGCGUUGUAUUAGCUAGUUGGUGAGGUAACGGCUCACCAAGGCGACGAUACAUAGCCGACCUGAGAGGGUGAUCGGCCACACUGGGACUGAGACACGGCCCAGACUCCUACGGGAGGCAGCAGUAGGGAAUCUUCGGCAAUGGACGGAAGUCUGACCGAGCAACGCCGCGUGAGUGAAGAAGGUUUUCGGAUCGUAAAGCUCUGUUGUAAGAGAAGAACGAGUGUGAGAGNGGAAAGUUCACACNGNGACGG